RNAcentral lists this ribosomal RNA (293 nucleotides) under uncultured bacterium. Its description in RNAcentral is "partial 16S ribosomal RNA". It matches the Rfam family "Bacterial small subunit ribosomal RNA", at positions 775 to 1067 of the family's 1533-position model. The record is from RNAcentral.
GGAUUAGAUACCCUGGUAGUCCACGCCGUAAACGAUGGGCACUAGGUGUCGGCGGUAUUAAUCCCGUCGGUGCCGGCGCUAACGCAGUAAGUGCCCCGCCUGGGGAGUACGGUCGCAAGGCUGAAACUCAAACGAAUUGACGGGGGCCCGCACAAGCGGUGGAGCAUGUGGUUUAAUUCGACGCAACGCGAAGAACCUUACCUAGGUUUGACAUGUAUAGGACCGGCUGUGAAAGCAGUCUUCCCUUCGGGGCCUAUGCACAGGUGCUGCAUGGCUGUCGUCAGCUCGUGCCG